This 239-nucleotide long non-coding RNA is filed under the name Elaeis guineensis (African oil palm). Its description in RNAcentral is "long non-coding RNA (EGUI_LNC028667)". The record is from RNAcentral. Lineage: Eukaryota; Viridiplantae; Streptophyta; Magnoliopsida; Arecales; Arecaceae.
GAAAAAAUAGAGGAAAAACUUGAAAAAAACAUAGGAAAAAUCAAGAAAACAAAGGGUGAAAAAAGGGAAAAAUUGAUUGAUCAAAUUUUCCUUUUUCCCUUUUUUCUUCUCAUUUCUUUCUCUUUUUUGAAGAUCUAUAGGAAGGAAAGCACUAAGGAAAAUUGGAGGAGAAAUAUUGAGAUGAUGGGGAGGAAGGUGAUGGUGGAGAUCGAUGGGAGGUGGCAAUGAGGAGAGUAGGG